Molecule: long non-coding RNA, 1361 nt
Organism: Acanthopagrus latus (yellowfin seabream)
Lineage: Eukaryota; Metazoa; Chordata; Actinopteri; Spariformes; Sparidae
Exons: 3
Source: RefSeq, a predicted model, not a curated record
CUAAUGCUAAGGCUAACUAGCUGUACCCUGCAAAACAAAAAUGCAGUUUAUCUGUCUUUAUGUUAGCUAGCCCGUCGAGGUGCUUUAGCUGUAUCAUGUACUGCGUAUAGCCAGCAUGCAGAGAAUUUUAAGUGGUCCAGACACACGUGGCAGCUCCAGCUCCCUGAGAAAGACGGAGAAAGAGAGGCUGAAACGGACAUCACGUAAUGCUCCCAUCUCCUACAUCAUACAUACAUCGUUCUCCGAGGUGCCGCAGAUGCUGCAGGACUUGCACUCUAUGCACUGCCACUGGUACGUCCUCACCGCCUGCAUCAUGUUGUCGGUGAACUGCAGACAUGUGGGGUGACCUGCGGGGGACCGACGAGAAGAGACGAGGAAAGUGAUGAAGACGGAUGGAAUGGAUAGCCAGAGGAUGAACAAAACAAAUGCAGUCGUGUUUCUCUUAUGUAACCGGUGAGAGACGCCUGUUUAUGAGGCGGCCCUGGAUUGGAGCUGACAGCAGACGCAGACGGACGGACACAUCUAAACAUAUUUACAUAAUUCAUCAAAAGCCGAUCUGCAUCAUCUGCUUUAGUAAUGUAUCUCCUGUGUUAAUUAAAAUGAAUAAAUUAUUGACAGUAUUUCCCAGCGUGCGCAGAUUUCUAAAUUCUCCUUUUAGUUUAUGCUGUGGAAAGAAAAUCAUUUUGCUUAAGUGAUUCAAUAAAAUGUUUUGCCUUUGAGAUAAAUAAGAUGCAAAUUAAGACAAAAUGAUUUCUCCCUUCAGGAUAAGACUGUUUAUAAGAACGAAUGAUGACUAUCAACUAGAGCAACAAUUAUGGUAAUGAAUUAAUUGCUUUAGUCAUUUCUUUCUUUCUUUUUUUUUUUUUUUAGCUAAACCCUUUUUUUGUUCCAGCUUCUUCGAUGUAAGCAUUUUCUGCGUUUCUUUCCCAUUUAUGAAAAACAAAUGAGGAAAUAAUGUUAAUAUUUCAGUCUUGGACUGUCGAUUUGAGUGAAAUUAAAUCUGAAGACGUCACUUUGAGCUCUGGCAAACUGUGAUGUGCAUUUUUCAUAUGUUUUUGACAGAUUAGUUGCAGCCCACUUGUGUGUGUGAUUCAAACAUCAGUCCGCUCAGCUGUAUGAAACUUAGCGUCAAAGGCAACCUAACCACAAACGACGGGUGAUUAUAUAUCUGGAAAAACCAAACACAAGCAGUGGUGUACGCAGGCAAAACGUUAUCAUCUGCCCAUAAAUCUACAGCUGUGACGACAAUAAGAGCUUCGCAGCUCUGUCGGAGCGCAGUUAUCUGCGUCGCCCUGGUAUCAAUGGGGUAUCAACGAGCCAUGAAUGAGCCAUAAUCAAGGAUGAAGUGAUUUACUUCUGAA